UAGAUGUAGGGGGUGUAGAUUCCCUCUGUGUCGUAGCUAACGCGUUAAACAUCCCGCCUGGGGAGUACGGCCGCAAGGCUAAAACUCAAACGAAUUGACGGGGGCCCGCACAAGCAGCGGAGCGUGUGGUUUAAUUCGAUGCUACACGAAGAACCUUACCUGGGCUUGACAUGUAGGUAGUAGCGAAGCGAAAGCGGAGCGACCCUUCGGGGAGCCAACACAGGUGCUGCAUGGCUGUCGUCAGCUCGUGCCGUGAGGUGUCGGGUUAAGUCCCGUAACGAGCGCAACCCCUGCUCUUAGUUAUACGUGUCUAAGGGGACUGCCGGCGGCAAGCCGGAGGAAGGUGGGGAUGACGUCAAGUCAGCAUGGCCUUUAUGUCCAGGGCUACACACACGCUACAAUGGCCGAUACAAUGGGUAGCGAAACCGCGAGGUGGAGCCAAUCCUCCAAAGUCGGUCUCAGUUCGGAUUGCAGGCUGCAACCCGCCUGCAUGAAGUUGGAGUUGCUAGUAAUCGCAGGUCAGCAAUACUGCGGUGAAUAUGUUCCCGGGCCUUGUACACACCGCCCGUCACGUCAUGGAAGCUGGCAACACCUGAAGCCGGUGAGCCAACCCGAGAGGGGGGCAGCCGUCGAAGGUGGGGCUGGUGACUGGGACG
Molecule: ribosomal RNA, 656 nt
Filed under: uncultured bacterium
Lineage: Bacteria
Description: bacterial SSU rRNA
Rfam family: Bacterial small subunit ribosomal RNA
Source: RNAcentral